GUGAAAUGUCCGCAGGUGAUCUUGAUACAGUAUACAAGCUCAUCGUAUCGAAGGAAAAGCUUCUGCGCAUUGACGAGCUUGAAGAAAAGCUUGGCUAUAGCGAAGACGGCAGAAAAUGGAGAUACAGCAGAGACGGAGAGCCAGAUGGCGGUAGCAGCUAUGGACGGCAUUAUGUGAGGGCACACUACAGCAGAGACGGCAGAGGACGCUACA
This 213-nucleotide unclassified non-coding RNA is filed under the name soil metagenome. RNAcentral describes it as "partial internal transcribed spacer 1". The record is from RNAcentral.